This 407-nucleotide ribosomal RNA is filed under the name uncultured bacterium. RNAcentral's name for it is "bacterial SSU rRNA". It matches the Rfam family "Bacterial small subunit ribosomal RNA", at positions 359 to 775 of the family's 1533-position model. The record is from RNAcentral.
GAAUCUUCGGCAAUGGGCGCAAGCCUGACCGAGCGACGCCGCGUGGAGGAUGAAGGCCCUCGGGUUGUAAACUCCUGUCGAGGGGGAGGAAGGGGCGACCUUGACCGAUCCCUGGAGGAAGCGCGGGCUAAGUUCGUGCCAGCAGCCGCGGUAAGACGAACCGCGCGAACGUUAUUCGGAAUUACUGGGCUUAAAGCGCGUGUAGGCGGACCGGAACGUCGACCUCUGAAAGCCCCCGGCUCAACCGGGGAAGCGGAGCCGAAACGACCGGUCUCGAGGGAUGGAGGGGGACCUGGAACUUCCGGUGGAGCGGUGAAAUGCGUUGAGAUCGGAAGGAACGCCGGCGGCGAAAGCGAGGUCCUGGACGUCCACUGACGCUGAGACGCGAAAGCUGGGGGAGCGAACGG